GCCAGGGGGUUGCUAUACUUGCAGUCGAGCGGACAGAUGGGAGCUUGCUCCCUGAUGUUAGCGGCGGACGGGUGAGUAACACGUGGGUAACCUGCCUGUAAGACUGGGAUAACUCCGGGAAACCGGGGCUAAUACCGGAUGGUUGUCUGAACCGCAUGGUUCAGACAUAAAAGGUGGCUUCGGCUACCACUUACAGAUGGACCCGCGGCGCAUUAGCUAGUUGGUGAGGUAACGGCUCACCAAGGCGACGAUGCGUAGCCGACCUGAGAGGGUGAUCGGCCACACUGGGACUGAGACACGGCCCAGACUCCUACGGGAGGCAGCAGUAGGGAAUCUUCCGCAAUGGACGAAAGUCUGACGGAGCAACGCCGCGUGAGUGAUGAAGGUUUUCGGAUCGUAAAGCUCUGUUGUUAGGGAAGAACAAGUGCCGUUCAAAUAGGGCGGCACCUUGACGGUACCUAACCAGAAAGCCACGGCUAACUACGUGCCAGCAGCCGCGGUAAUACGUAGGUGGCAAGCGUUGUCCGGAAUUAUUGGGCGUAAAGGGCUCGCAGGCGGUUUCUUAAGUCUGAUGUGAAAGCCCCCGGCUCAACCGGGGAGGGUCAUUGGAAACUGGGGAACUUGAGUGCAGAAGAGGAGAGUGGAAUUCCACGUGUAGCGGUGAAAUGCGUAGAGAUGUGGAGGAACACCAGUGGCGAAGGCGACUCUCUGGUCUGUAACUGACGCUGAGGAGCGAAAGCGUGGGGAGCGAACAGGAUUAGAUACCCUGGUAGUCCACGCCGUAAACGAUGAGUGCUAAGUGUUAGGGGGUUUCCGCCCCUUAGUGCUGCAGCUAACGCAUUAAGCACUCCGCCUGGGGAGUACGGUCGCAAGACUGAAACUCAAAGGAAUUGACGGGGGCCCGCACAAGCGGUGGAACAUGUGGUUUAAUUCGAAGCAACGCGAAGA
This 948-nucleotide ribosomal RNA is filed under the name uncultured Bacillus sp. RNAcentral's name for it is "bacterial SSU rRNA". It matches the Rfam family "Bacterial small subunit ribosomal RNA", at positions 35 to 967 of the family's 1533-position model. The record is from RNAcentral. Lineage: Bacteria; Bacillati; Bacillota; Bacilli; Caryophanales; Bacillaceae.